UUCCGGUUGAUCCCGCCGGAGGCUACUGCUAUCGGGGUCCGACUAAGCCAUGCGAGUUGAGAGGGGUAAGCCCUCGGCAUAUUGCUCAGUAACACGCGGAUAACCUGCCCUUGGGUUUGGGAUAACCCCGGGAAACUGGGACUAAUGCCGGACAGAUCAAAGAUACUGGAAUGUUCUUUGUUCGAAAGCUCCGGCGCCCAAGGAUGGGUCUGCGGCCUAUCAGGUAGUAGUGGGUGUAACGUACCUACUAGCCUACGACGGGUAAGGGUUGUGAGAGCAAGAGCCCUGAGAUGGAUUCUGANACAUGAAUCCAGGCCCUACGGGGUGCAGCAGGCGCGAAAACUUUACACUGCGGGAAACCGCGAUAAGGGGACCCCGAGUGCCAGCACCUAGUGCUGGCUGUCCAGCUGUUCAAAAAACAGUUGUUAGCAAGGGCCGGGCAAGACCGGUGCCAGCCGCCGCGGUAACACCGGCGGCCCGAGUGGUAGCCGUUAUUAUUGGGUUUAAAGGGUCCGUAGCCGGCUUAUUAAGUCUCUUGGGAAAUCUGGCGACUCAAUCGUCAGGCGUUCAAGAGAUACUGAUAGGCUUGGGACCGGGAGAGGUGGGAGGUACUCCAGGGGUAGGGGUGAAAUCUCGUAAUCCUUGGGGGACCACCGAUGGCGAAGGCAUCCCACCAGAACGGGUCCGACGGUGAGGGACGAAAGCUGGGGGCACGAACCGGAUUAGAUACCCGGGUAGUCCCAGCUGUAAACGAUGCUCGCUAGGUGUCAGGUGCGGUGCGACCGCAUCUGGUGCCGUAGUGAAAAACUUGA
RNAcentral lists this ribosomal RNA (812 nucleotides) under uncultured euryarchaeote. RNAcentral's name for it is "bacterial SSU rRNA". It matches the Rfam family "Archaeal small subunit ribosomal RNA", at positions 1 to 817 of the family's 1478-position model. Lineage: Archaea; Methanobacteriati; Methanobacteriota. The record is from RNAcentral.